Molecule: ribosomal RNA, 2207 nt
Filed under: Arsenophonus nasoniae (son-killer infecting Nasonia vitripennis)
Lineage: Bacteria; Pseudomonadati; Pseudomonadota; Gammaproteobacteria; Enterobacterales; Morganellaceae
Description: 23S ribosomal RNA
Rfam family: Bacterial large subunit ribosomal RNA
Source: RNAcentral
GCGUACACGGUGGAUGCCUAGGCAGUCAGAGGCGAUGAAGGACGUGCUAAUCUGCGAAAAGCGUCGGUAAGCUGAUAUGAAGCGUUAUAGCCGGCGAUGUCCGAAUGGGGAAACCCAGUGCAUUAAUGCACUAUCGUUUGAUGAAUUCAUAGUCAAACGAGGCGAACCGGGGGAACUGAAACAUCUCAGUACCCCGAGGAAAAGAAAUCAACCGAGAUUCCCCUAGUAGCGGCGAGCGAACGGGGAGUAGCCCAGAGUCAGCAUCGAUAUUAGCAUCAGGAGAAGGGUCUGGAAAGGCCAGCCAUAAAGGGUGAUAGCCCCGUAUCCGAAGGUGUUAGUAUCGUGAGCUCGAAGAGUAGGGCGGGACACGUGUUAUCCUGUCUGAAUAAGGGGGGACCAUCCUCCAAGGCUAAAUACUCCUGACUGACCGAUAGUGAACCAGUACCGUGAGGGAAAGGCGAAAAGAACCCCGGCGAGGGGAGUGAAAGAGAACCUGAAACCGUGUACGUACAAGCAGUGGGAGCCCCACCACCAAAGUAUUUCUGCAAGCGGUUUGACGGUUGGCGGCGCACAGCGACGCCCAACCCAUCCAAUCAAGCAGGGUGAAUACCAUCGAAUCAAGGCGCGAGGUUCAGGCCAAAUCAGGUAAAACCUGAAUCCGGUUGAAUCAAGCAAAUUGACGAAGAUGAGAGGGAUUGCCGAAGGCAAUCGCCGCAAAGUACGGAGUACUUUGGGGUGGGGUGACUGCGUACCUUUUGUAUAAUGGGUCAGCGACUUAUAUUCUGUAGCAAGGUUAACCGCAUAGGGGAGCCGUAGGGAAACCGAGUCUUAACUGGGCGUCAAGUUGCAGGGUAUAGACCCGAAACCCGGUGAUCUAGCCAUGGGCAGGUUGAAGGUUGGGUAACACUAACUGGAGGGCCGAACCGACUAAUGUUGAAAAAUUAGCGGAUGACUUGUGGCUGGGGGUGAAAGGCCAAUCAAACCGGGAGAUAGCUGGUUCUCCCCGAAAGCUAUUUAGGUAGCGCCUCGUGAACUCAUCUUCGGGGGUAGAGCACUGUUUCGGCUAGGGGGUCAUCCCGACUUACCAACCCGAUGCAAACUCCGAAUACCGAAGAAUGUAAUCACGGGAGACACACGGCGGGUGCUAACGUCCGUCGUGAAGAGGGAAACAACCCAGACCGCCAGCUAAGGUCCCCAAGUCAUGGUUAAGUGGGAAACGAAGUGGGAAGGCUUAGACAGCCAGGAUGUUGGCUUAGAAGCAGCCAUCAUUUAAAGAAAGCGUAAUAGCUCACUGGUCGAGUCGGCCUGCGCGGAAGAUGUAACGGGGCUAAACCAUGCACCGAAGCUGCGGCAGCAACAGCAAUGUUGUUGGGUAGGGGAGCGUUCUGUAAGCCGUUGAAGGUGGAUUGAGAGGUCUGCUGGAGGUAUCAGAAGUGCGAAUGCUGACAUAAGUAACGAUAAAGCGGGUGAAAAACCCGCUCGCCGAAAGACCAAGGGUUCCUGUCCAACGUUAAUCGGGGCAGGGUAAGUCGACCCCUAAGGCGAGGCUGAAAAGCAUAGUCGAUGGGAAACGGGUUAAUAUUCCCGUACUAAGGGUUACUGCGAAGUGGGGACGGAGAAGGCUAGGCUAUCCGGGCGACGGUUGUCCCGGUUUAAGCGUGUAGGUGGGUCGUGCAGGCAAAUCCGUACGACUAUAACACUGAGGCGUGAUGACGAGCCACCAAGGUGGUGAAGUAGUUGAUACCCAGCUUCCAGGAAAAGCCGCUAAGCGAUAGGUAAUCAUUAAUCGUACCCCAAACCGACACAGGUGGUUAGGUAGAGAAUACUCAGGCGCUUGAGAGAACUCGGGUGAAGGAACUAGGCAAAAUGGUGCCGUAACUUCGGGAGAAGGCACGCUGGUGUUGGGUGAAAUGGUUAACCCAUGGAGCUGAAGCCAGUCGCAGAUACCAGCUGGCUGCAACUGUUUAUUAAAAACACAGCACUGUGCAAACACGAAAGUGGACGUAUACGGUGUGACGCCUGCCCGGUGCUGGAAGGUUAAUUGAUGGGGUAAGCCGUAAGGCGAAGCUCUUGAUCGAAGCCCCAGUAAACGGCGGCCGUAACUAUAACGGUCCUAAGGUAGCGAAAUUCCUUGUCGGGUAAGUUCCGACCUGCACGAAUGGCGUAAUGAUGGCCAGGCUGUCUCCACCCGAGACUCAGUGAAAUUG